This 255-nucleotide ribosomal RNA is filed under the name uncultured archaeon. RNAcentral's name for it is "partial 16S ribosomal RNA". It matches the Rfam family "Archaeal small subunit ribosomal RNA", at positions 748 to 1001 of the family's 1478-position model. The record is from RNAcentral.
CAGCCGUAAACAAUGUGCGUUAGGUGUGUCGGUAACCACGCGUUACUGAUGCGCCGAAGAGAAAUCGUGAAACGCACCACCUGGGAAGUACGGUCGCAAGGCUGAAACUUAAAGGAAUUGGCGGGGGGAGCACCACAACAGGUGGAGCCUGCGGUUUAAUUGGACUCAACGCCGGGAAGCUCACCGGAUAGGACAGCAGAAUGAUUGCCGGGCUGAAGACCCUGCAUGACUAGCUGAGAGGAGGUGCAUGGCGUA